This 58-nucleotide transfer RNA is filed under the name Salmo salar (Atlantic salmon). It matches the Rfam family "tRNA", at positions 8 to 63 of the family's 71-position model. Rfam says of the family: Transfer RNA (tRNA) molecules are approximately 80 nucleotides in length. Their secondary structure includes four short double-helical elements and three loops (D, anti-codon, and T loops). Lineage: Eukaryota; Metazoa; Chordata; Actinopteri; Salmoniformes; Salmonidae. The record is from Rfam by way of RNAcentral.
UAGGACAGUUGGUAGAGCAUGGCACUUGCAAUGCCAGGGUUGUGGGUUCGAUUCCCAU